RNAcentral lists this ribosomal RNA (440 nucleotides) under uncultured Roseovarius sp. RNAcentral's name for it is "bacterial SSU rRNA". It matches the Rfam family "Bacterial small subunit ribosomal RNA", at positions 66 to 552 of the family's 1533-position model. The record is from RNAcentral. Lineage: Bacteria; Pseudomonadati; Pseudomonadota; Alphaproteobacteria; Rhodobacterales; Roseobacteraceae.
GCGAGACCUUCGGGUCUAGCGGCGGACGGGUUAGUAACGCGUGGGAACGUACCCUUCUCUACGGAAUAGCCUUUGGAAACGAAGAGUAAUACCGUAUACGCCCUUUGGGGGAAAGAUUUAUCGGAGAAGGAUCGGCCCGCGUUAGAUUAGAUAGUUGGUGGGGUAAUGGCCUACCAAGUCUACGAUCUAUAGCUGGUUUUAGAGGAUGAUCAGCAACACUGGGACUGAGACACGGCCCAGACUCCUACGGGAGGCAGCAGUGGGGAAUCUUAGACAAUGGGCGCAAGCCUGAUCUAGCCAUGCCGCGUGAGUGAAGAAGGCCUUAGGGUCGUAAAGCUCUUUCGCCAGGGAUGAUAAUGACAGUACCUGGUAAAGAAACCCCGGCUAACUCCGUGCCAGCAGCCGCGGUAAUACGGAGGGGGUUAGCGUUGUUCGGAAUU